CCGUCGCAACUAGAGAACAACUACGAGCCUAAUAAGAGAAUUAAAUCUAUUUUCUCAUAAAAAAAACCCUAGCCUAUUUCUCUCAAUCCCUGUUCUCUACCGCAUCCCUCUUUCUCUUUCUCUCUGUUGUCGAUCUCUCUGAAGCAGAUCGGAUCGGAACUUCCCGUCGCUGGUCCUCCGUGCUCAGUCUCUCCGCUCAGUCCUCUCUCUCUCUCGCUCAGCGGCUCAGUUGUUGUCGCUCUCUCUCUCUCUUAUACAUAUCACUUUGUCUCAGCGGCUCAGAACCAGAUCGGAACUGGCGGCUUCAGCUUCUUCAUCGCUCAGUAGCUCUUGCUCUCUCUUUCUCUCUGCGCGCGCGGCUGCUCUGAAGACUGAAACCAGAUCUUUCCGAACCAAAAGAAAACCCCCAAAACCUUCUCUCUCAGCCUCUCUCACAUCUAGCCCUAAAUCGCUCUUCGUUGGUAUGAAAUUUCAACCCUUUCAAACUUUAAUUGAUACGUUUGAUUUGCAAUUCGCAGUUUUCAACGGAGGAAGAUGAACAAAAUCUCGACAAUUAAUUCUUCCUGUUCUAAUUUUCUCUCCUGGGCCAUUUGAUUAUAUGGCUUUGAAAGUGGGUAUCUUGGUUUUGCAUCAUGGAUUGAGAUAAGCAUACAAAAUCAGCACUGUCUGGGACAAAAUAUGGCUUGAAGCAGACACGUGGAAAGUUUGGUCUAGGUGCAAAGAUGGCAUUAAUUUGGUCGAAGAUGAGUACAGGGCUUCCUAUAGAUAUCUCUUCAUCAAUGAAGGGCCAAAGUUAUAAUUCUUUCUGCAGACUGGAUAUAGAUAUUCAUCGGAACAUUCCUCAUGUUCAUAUACAUGAAAAACGGGAAAACAAGGAUAGGUGGCAUGGUGCUGAAAUCCAAGUUGUUAUUGAGGGAAAUUGGACAACUUACCGUGUAAAGUGACUCAGUCACCAGCUCGAUUAUCCUCUAUGUAUUCUGUGAAGUGCAGUUGUUGGUUUGAUAUCCACAUGAACAUUGAUAAAUUCCCUCUGGUGAAAUAUCCUGUGCUGGUAAUACAUAGAAAUUGUUUUUGCAGGGUUAUGUGAACAAUUUGAUGCAAGGGAGAAGUAACAGCAGUCAAUGGAGGAGUUUGUGUAAAUUGUUCAGCAGCAUUGGGAGUCAGUACAAAUCGUCUCGGACAGGAAAUCUGUGGCUAAAGACCAAUAGAUUCUCUCAAGUUGUUUUGGAUAUGACUAUCUGACUAUCAUGAGGCUGGGUCAGAUCUGACACUUACAAGUGAGGUAUUUGAGCAAUUAUGGUUCCAGGUAGUGGUAAACAAUUCUGGUGUGGAAGAAAACAAGGAAAAGACAAUGGUUAUCUAAAGGUUGACUUGUACGAGAAUUCUGUUAUAUAAAGUUGGGUUACUGCAUAUUUACCUUGCUAGCAAUCUAAUUUCAUGGAUACUGCCGCGAAUGCUGGUCUACCCGUUCGGAGAUUCAAGUUUAUAUAAGCAGUUCCGGAUGCAACUAGUGACCAUGAAAUUCGGAGGGAAUCUGUAGGAGAAGAAGGGAAUCCAGAUUCAAGCUGUGAUGAUAGAGCAAUGGACUGAGUUUCAAUAUGUUCAUAUUCUGAUAGUGCAAUAUUGGAAUUUUUGUUAAGUGUUACUCUUGGUUGUCUUCAUUAGGUGCUUGGUUUUGGGCAUAACUUUGUAUUUCUUCUAAUUACAUAUUUGGAUGAAUGCAGCAACUUAAUUACAUUGCUAUGAAAUAGAUGAGUUAAUCAACAAUA
This is a long non-coding RNA of Rosa rugosa (rugosa rose), 1769 nucleotides long. RefSeq lists it as uncharacterized. The transcript is spliced from 12 exons. NCBI's taxonomy places the organism in Eukaryota, Viridiplantae, Streptophyta, Magnoliopsida, Rosales, Rosaceae. The record is from RefSeq and is a predicted model, not a curated record.